CCUACGUGCGUCAGCAGUGGGGAAUAUUGCACAAUGGGGGAAACCCUGAUGCCGCGACGCCGCGUGAGUGAAGAAGUAUUUCGGUAUGUAAAGCUCUAUCAGCAGGGAAGAAACUGACGGUACCUGAUUACGACGCCCCGGCUCACUACGUGCCAGCAGCCGCGGUACUACGUAGGGGGCAAGCGUUAUCCGGAUUUACUGGGUGUAAAGGGAGCGUAGACGGCAGCACAAGUCUGGAGUGAAAUGCCGGGGCUUAACCCCGGAACUGCUUUGGAAACUGGGCAGCUAGAGUGCAGGAGAGGUAAGUGGAAUUCCUAGUGUAGCGGUGAAAUGCGUAGAUAUUAGGAGGAACACCAGUGGCGAAGGCGGCUUACUGGACUGUAACUGACGUUGAGGCUCGAAAGCGUGGGGAGCAAACAGGAUUAGAUACCCCAGUAGUC
Molecule: ribosomal RNA, 440 nt
Filed under: uncultured bacterium
Lineage: Bacteria
Description: partial 16S ribosomal RNA
Rfam family: Bacterial small subunit ribosomal RNA
Source: RNAcentral